ACAGAGGGUGCGAGCGUUAAUCGGAGUUACUGGGCGUAAAGGGCGCGUAGGCGGUUAUUUAAGUGAGAUGUGAAAUCCCUGGGCUUAACCUAGGAACUGCAUCUCAUACUGGAUAGCUAGAGUAUUGUAGAGGGUAGUGGAAUUUCCGGUGUAGCGGUGAAAUGCGUAGAGAUCGGAAGGAACACCAGUGGCGAAGGCGGCUACCUGGACAAAUACUGACGCUGAGGCGCGAAAGCGUGGGGAGCAAACAGG
This 252-nucleotide ribosomal RNA is filed under the name uncultured bacterium. RNAcentral's name for it is "partial 16S ribosomal RNA". It matches the Rfam family "Bacterial small subunit ribosomal RNA", at positions 525 to 776 of the family's 1533-position model. The record is from RNAcentral.